Molecule: non-coding RNA, 533 nt
Organism: Girardinichthys multiradiatus
Lineage: Eukaryota; Metazoa; Chordata; Actinopteri; Cyprinodontiformes; Goodeidae
Source: the annotation of a RefSeq genome assembly
GUCCAGGUCUUUCAGAGUCACUGACACACCAGCAGAACAAUGAAGAUGUUACUGACUCUACUGCUGACCACCCUGGAGCUCCUGGUUCAGGGUUCGUCAGGAGACAUAAUCAUGAGUCAGACUCCAGGAUCUCUGUCUGUUGUUCCAGGACAGACUGUCUCCAUUAAAUGUAAAGCCAGUGAAUAUGUUAGCAAUGAGGUAGACUGGUACCUUCAGAAACCUGGAGAAGCUCCUAAACUGCUUAUUUAUUGGACAUCAAAUAGUCAGCCUGGAGUUUCUGAUCGUUUCAGUGGAAGUCAGUCUGGAACUGAUUUCACUCUGACCAUCAGCAGAGUUCAGGCUGAAGAUGCAGGAGUUUAUUACUGUCAGCAGGACUACAGCACACCGUUCACACAGUGAUACAACGUGGUACAAAAACCUCCCUCAGCUGCAGAGGAACUGAUCCACAGCUGCACUGAAGCAGAAGAUGAACAUAAAAUAAUGUUCAUAGAUUGCAAAAUAAAAAAUGUAUUUAUCAAUUAAAAUAAUUUUUU